GACGAACGCUGGCGGCGUGCCUAAUACAUGCAAGUCGAGCGAAGUUUUUUUGGUGCUUGCACUAGAAAAACUUAGCGGCGAACGGGUGAGUAACACGUAAAGAACCUGCCUCAUAGACUGGGACAACUAUUGGAAACGAUAGCUAAUACCGGAUAACAGCAUUAACUGCAUGGUUGAUGUUUAAAAGUUGGUUUUGCUAACACUAUGAGAUGGCUUUGCGGUGCAUUAGCUAGUUGGUGGGGUAAAGGCCUACCAAGGCGACGAUGCAUAGCCGACCUGAGAGGGUGAUCGGCCACACUGGGACUGAGACACGGCCCAGACUCCUACGGGAGGCAGCAGUAGGGAAUCUUCCGCAAUGGGCGAAAGCCUGACGGAGCAACGCCGCGUGAGUGAAGAAGGAUUUCGGUUCGUAAAGCUCUGUUGUUAGGGAAGAAUGAUUGUGUAGUAACUAUACACAGUAGAGACG
RNAcentral lists this ribosomal RNA (466 nucleotides) under Gemella haemolysans. RNAcentral describes it as "bacterial SSU rRNA". It matches the Rfam family "Bacterial small subunit ribosomal RNA", at positions 28 to 474 of the family's 1533-position model. The record is from RNAcentral. Lineage: Bacteria; Bacillati; Bacillota; Bacilli; Caryophanales; Gemellaceae.